UUUUAUGGAGAGUUUGAUCCUGGCUCAGGAUGAACGCUGGCGGCGUGCCUAAUACAUGCAAGUCGAGCGAACGGACGAGAAGCUUGCUUCUCUGAUGUUAGCGGCGGACGGGUGAGUAACACGUGGAUAACCUACCUAUAAGACUGGGAUAACUUCGGGAAACCGGAGCUAAUACCGGAUAAUAUUUUGAACCGCAUGGUUCAAAAGUGAAAGACGGUCUUGCUGUCACUUAUAGAUGGA
This 240-nucleotide ribosomal RNA is filed under the name Staphylococcus aureus. RNAcentral's name for it is "partial 16S ribosomal RNA". It matches the Rfam family "Bacterial small subunit ribosomal RNA", at positions 1 to 229 of the family's 1533-position model. RNAcentral also lists the same sequence under 1 other name. Lineage: Bacteria; Bacillati; Bacillota; Bacilli; Caryophanales; Staphylococcaceae. The record is from RNAcentral.